This 560-nucleotide long non-coding RNA is filed under the name Homo sapiens (human). Its description in RNAcentral is "HSALNT0013694". Lineage: Eukaryota; Metazoa; Chordata; Mammalia; Primates; Hominidae. The record is from RNAcentral.
AUUUCUGAAAGAGAUAGCAUUGUAGAUCUGGACGUUUCAUCACAUAUUCCCAGGAAGGCCCAGCCAAAUGCAGCUGGCACUGUGCCAGACAUUGGGCUAGGUGCUGGGAAUUGAAAUAAUAAACUAUUUCCUGAUUUCUCUUCUCUCUUCUGGAGAAAGAAUUGGAUUAGAACAAGAAUCUAGCUCAGUGCCUGGCUCAGAACAACUCCAUUGAAUGAAUCAUCCAUAGAGGCCCUUACAUCAUGCUAUGGGAAUGCAACAGAAGGAGCAGUGAACUGUGCUUGGAGGAGUUGCCUUGGAAGCUGAAGCAUGUAUACCAAAUAGAGGAACAUCAGGGCAGGGCAAGGGUUGGUUCAUAGCUGGUCGCCAGAAUAGAAUGCUCAAAGGUACAGGGGCCUGAGAAGUGGUGGAAAGGUUGGCAGGUUUGGGAAAUUUGAGGAUACCUGAGAGGAUGCACUGUGGGAUGUGGUGGUUUGCUGUUAUUAUUGUUAUUGUUAAACCAGAAGAAGAGGCUAUGAGUUAGUCAGGGGCUGUGUGUUAAAAGGCCUGGCAAUUCAUGC